UGCAGCACAUGGAAGUUCCCAGGCUAGGGGUCCAAUCAGAGCUGUAGAUGCCAGCCGAUGCCACAGCCACGGAAAGACGAAUCCAAGCUGUGUCUGUGAUCAGUACCACAGCUCACCACAAUGCCAGAUCCUUAACCCACUGAAUAGGCUUGGGAUCUAAUCCAAGUCCUCAUGGACCCUUGAGGGCUCAUUUCCACUGAGUCAUGAUGGGAACCACUAUAUAGACCUUUAAAAACAGUCCUAAGACUGUAUUUUACUCACAGAUACUGUGAGUUAAGUAUUACUUGCUGUGAUACAUUGUAUUAGUCAUGUAUUACUAUAUGGAAUGUUACUUAUAUAUUACUCUGUAAUACAUGUAAUAAUCAUGUAUGGCUCUUACUGUUAGGCCACAUUUAAAAAUAUGUCGUCACACUGGGACCAUUGUCACGGCCUUGUGCCAGUUAGAAGUUUAUAUGACUCUCUUCUCACUAGCCAUCUCUUGCUGGAGCCGUCCUGCCUGGGUCCCCAUCGCAGUGCUGCUGCUCGGUAGCUUUACCUGAAGGGAUUGACCAUGUUUUAUGCUGUGCUCCACCGCAUUGUGCUAUGUACCAGUUCCAGGCUGUGGGUUAUUUUAAGCAUGCAUCCUGAACCCAAAAUUAUUCCCAAGAUCAUCCGGAGACAGACUGCAAGCCCUUGUAAAUAAGAAAUAUUACUGUAACAUGGAAACAGGGGCAUGAGCUGCUCGGGAUAUGUUCCUGUGUGUUUAUUGGUGGGAACAUACCAUGGUUGUAUCACUGGAAUCGUCAGUGCUUAGGACCUUCCUUUGCGUGCAGUGACAGAGAAAGCAGAAGCCUUGACAGUGAAAGACCUGCGGCUCAAAUGCGUGCACACUGCAGAUAGAUUGUCAUUUCCUUAGAAGUGUGAACAGCCUCAGCUCUAGGGAGAGAAACACGUUCAAAGAGGAGAGGGAGGAGUUCCCACUGUGGUGCAUCGGGAUCGGUGGCAUCUUAGGAGCGCUGGGACGCAGGUUCGGUCCCCGUGCUGGCAGAGUGGGUUAGGGAUCCGGCGUUGCCACAGCUCUGGCUUAGGUCAGCACUGUGGCUCAGAUCUGACCCCUGAGCUGGGAGCGCCACAUGCUGUGCGGUGGCCAAACAAAACAAACGAAAAAACGAGGGGAGGGUAGGUCUUCCGAGUAGGGGACGGGAUUCAAGGAAGAGGCGGCCUUGGUGGACGUGUUACCAAGGCUGUGGGGACCUGAGGAAGCCGUCUGCUCGAAUUCCCAUGAAAUCGCCGCACGCGUUCUGAGCCCGGGUAUUUUCUUCUUGUAGAUCUUUUCGGGGCUGUUGGUGAAUCUCAAAACGGUCGUGCCUUGGCUCUCGUGGUUACAGUACUUCAGCAUUCCUCGAUACGGCUUUUCGGCUUUGCAGUAUAAUGAGUUUUUGGGACAAAACUUCUGCCCUGGACUCAACGUCACAACAAACAAUACCUGUAGCUUCGCAAUAUGUACUGGCGCCGAGUAUUUGGAAAACCAGGGCAUCAGUCUCUCCGCUUGGGGCCUGUGGCAGAAUCACGUGGCCUUGGCGUGCAUGAUGGUCAUUUUCCUGACGAUCGCCUACCUGAAACUGCUACUCCUCAAAAAAUACUCCUAAAUUCCCCUCUAGGUUACACCACUUACCCCCCAUUAAAGAGAAAGCAUUCUGGUUU
This 1683-nucleotide long non-coding RNA is filed under the name Sus scrofa (pig). RNAcentral's name for it is "lncRNA (ENSSSCG00040026372.1)". Lineage: Eukaryota; Metazoa; Chordata; Mammalia; Artiodactyla; Suidae. The record is from RNAcentral.